Molecule: non-coding RNA, 483 nt
Organism: Erinaceus europaeus (western European hedgehog)
Lineage: Eukaryota; Metazoa; Chordata; Mammalia; Eulipotyphla; Erinaceidae
Source: the annotation of a RefSeq genome assembly
AACCACAACCUCGCUCAAAGCCCUCAGACUACAUCCUCCAUCAUGGAGUGGAGCUGGAGAGUACUAUUCUUGAUGGCAGUGACUGCAAGUGUGCACUCCCAGGUACAACUGACCCAGUCUGGGGCUGAGGUGAGGAAACCUGGAACAUCUGUCAAGGUCUCUUGCAAGGCUUCUGGAUACACUUUCACCAGCUACUACAUGCACUGGGUGCGGCAGGCCCCUGGAAAAGGCCUAGAGUGGAUGGGAUGGGUUUAUCCUAAAAAUGGUAAUACAAAGUAUGCCCAGAAGUUCCAAGGAAGAGCCACCAUGACUGCAGACACAUCCUCCAACACAGCCUACAUGCAGCUGAGCAGUCUGAGUUUUGAGGAUACAGCUGUGUAUUACUGUGCAAGAGACACAGUGAGGAGAAGUGAGGGUGAGCCCAGACAAAAACCUCCCAGCAUGGAAAACAGAGGUGGUUGAAGUUGGUGCUCAUAACCAGCA